Molecule: ribosomal RNA, 440 nt
Filed under: uncultured bacterium
Lineage: Bacteria
Description: partial 16S ribosomal RNA
Rfam family: Bacterial small subunit ribosomal RNA
Source: RNAcentral
CCUACGGGAGGCAGCAGUGGGGAAUAUUGCACAAUGGGGGAAACCCUGAUGCAGCGACGCCGCGUGAGUGAAGAAGUAUCUCGGUACGUAAAGCUCUAUCAGCAGGGAAGAAAAUGACGGUACUUGACUACGCAGCCCCGGCUAACUACGUGCCAGCAGCCGCGGUAAUACGUAGGGGGCAAGCGUUAUCCGGAUGUACUGGGUGUAACGGGAGCGUAGACGGCAGCGCAAGUCUGGAGUGAAAUGCCGGGGCUCAACCCCGGAACUGCUUUGGAAACUGGGCGGCUCGAGUGCAGGAGAGGUAAGCGGAAUUCCUAGUGUAGCGGUGAAAUGCGUAGAGAUUAGGAGGAACACCAGUGGCGAAGGCGGCUUACUGGACGGUAACUGACGUUGAGGCUCGAAAGCGUGGGGAGCAAACAGGAUUAGAUACCCCUGUAGUC